Non-coding RNA from Danio rerio (zebrafish), 74 nucleotides. Lineage: Eukaryota; Metazoa; Chordata; Actinopteri; Cypriniformes; Danionidae. The record is from Rfam.
GUCUCUGUGGAGCAAUCGGUUAGCGCGUUUAGCUGGCAACUGAAAGGUUGGUGGUUCAAACCCACCCAGGGACG